RNAcentral lists this non-coding RNA (236 nucleotides) under uncultured Nitzschia. Lineage: Eukaryota; Bacillariophyta; Bacillariophyceae; Bacillariales; Bacillariaceae. The record is from RNAcentral.
CCUAUAGCAUCGAGCCGGAAAUCCAUAGGAACAAUCGUUUCUUCUGGCCGCUUCAAGGAUUCUGGAAUUUUAUUAUCUUUGUCCGACCAGUGUAUCAUCACAUGCGGAGGAAAGAAAAAGAUACAAAUUGGUUCUUCGUGACUUACUGUAAUGCAUUGAAGCAUUUAUUGAGUGGUGGCGCAAAACCUGCAAGCCGCAUCUCGAAGGCGCGUGCUAAACGGAAUGAGGCAAUCAUG